GUCCUUUACCCAUCAGCCCUAAACACUGGUCUGAGUGGUUACAGAAGGAGGAAAAGUAAAAUGGAAACUAACUUCAAUUCUUGGGGAUACAUGAGCUAGUUUCAAAGAAAC
Molecule: small nucleolar RNA, 111 nt
Filed under: Echinops telfairi (small Madagascar hedgehog)
Lineage: Eukaryota; Metazoa; Chordata; Mammalia; Afrosoricida; Tenrecidae
Description: Small nucleolar RNA SNORA61 (ENSETEG00000024542.1)
Source: RNAcentral